ACGCUGGCGGCAGGCCUAACACAUGCAAGUCGAGCGGUAGAGAGAAGCUUGCUUCUCUUGAGAGCGGCGGACGGGUGAGUAAUGCCUAGGAAUCUGCCUGGUAGUGGGGGAUAACGUCCGGAAACGGACGCUAAUACCGCAUACGUCCUACGGGAGAAAGCAGGGGACCUUCGGGCCUUGCGCUAUCAGAUGAGCCUAGGUCGGAUUAGCUAGUUGGUGGGGCAAUGGCUCACCAAGGCGACGAUCCGUAACUGGUCUGAGAGGAUGAUCAGUCACACUGGAACUGAGACACGGUCCAGACUCCUACGGGAGGCAGCAGUGGGGAAUAUUGGACAAUGGGCGAAAGCCUGAUCCAGCCAUGCCGCGUGUGUGAAGAAGGUCUUCGGAUUGUAAAGCACUUUAAGUUGGGAGGAAGGGCAGUUACCUAAUACGUGAUUGUUUUGACGUUACCGACAGAAUAAGCACCGGCUAACUCUGUGCCAGCAGCCGCGGUAAUACAGAGGGUGCAAGCGUUAAUCGGAAUUACUGGGCGUAAAGCGCGCGUAGGUGGUUCGUUAAGUUGGAUGCGAAAUCCCCGGGCUCAACCUGGGAACUGCAUUCAAAACUGACGAGCUAGAGUAUGGUAGAGGGUGGUGGAAUUUCCUGUGUAGCGGUGAAAUGCGUAGAUAUAGGAAGGAACACCAGUGGCGAAGGCGACCACCUGGACUGAUACUGACACUGAGGUGCGAAAGCGUGGGGAGCAAAC
Molecule: ribosomal RNA, 745 nt
Filed under: uncultured bacterium
Lineage: Bacteria
Description: bacterial SSU rRNA
Rfam family: Bacterial small subunit ribosomal RNA
Source: RNAcentral